Molecule: long non-coding RNA, 552 nt
Filed under: Equus caballus (horse)
Lineage: Eukaryota; Metazoa; Chordata; Mammalia; Perissodactyla; Equidae
Description: lncRNA (ENSECAG00000059119.1)
Source: RNAcentral
GUUGCGUCUAGUGGGUUAUGUGCCACUGAUCCAGCAGUGAGGUGUGGGUGGCUCACGCACAGGGGCUGUAUGUACACAUACCUGUGGUACACGUGUGCACAUAGCAGGGCUGUGGGUAUGCAGGUUAUAUGUGGUGUGUGUUCACAGUUGUGUGUGCUGGUCUUUAAGUGCCACGAGAGCAGGGAUCAAGUCCUCCUUGCUGGCUGCUGUACCCCCAGCACCUAGCUGGGUUCCUGGCUGGGUGGAUGGGUGUGGAUUAUAUAAAUGUGGGGUGAAUUUAUGUCUGUGUGAUAGGUACCUGGGAGCUACGCGAUGCAUAUAUGAAAGGAGAUGGAAAAUGCAGAGAAGGCAGAGUCUGAAAUUCUGGAGCUGCAGUUGAAUAACCAGAAGACCCUAGCCAAGUCACUUCACCUCUCUGAGCCUCAGUUUCCUCAUCUGUAAAAUGGGCGUGAGGUUCUCUUACAGGGUAAUGGAGAUGGUCAAAUGAGAAAAGAAACAUGAAAGUGUUAGUAAACUGUAAACUCCUGAUUAUGUAUGUGUGUGUGUAUAAAC